This 409-nucleotide ribosomal RNA is filed under the name uncultured Nitrososphaerota archaeon. Its description in RNAcentral is "bacterial SSU rRNA". It matches the Rfam family "Archaeal small subunit ribosomal RNA", at positions 452 to 861 of the family's 1478-position model. Lineage: Archaea; Thermoproteati; Nitrososphaerota. The record is from RNAcentral.
CUGGUGUCAGCCGCCGCGGUAAUACCAGCACCCCGAGUGGUCGGGACGAUUAUUGGGCCUAAAGCAUCCGUAGCCGGUCUUGCAAGUCUUCCGUUAAAUCCAGCUGCUUAACGGAUGGGCUGCGGAAGAUACUACAAGACUAGGAGGCGGAAGAGGCAAGCGGUACUCAGUGGGUAGGGGUAAAAUCCUCUGAUCCAUUGAAGACCACCAGUGGCGAAGGCGGCUUGCCAGAACGCGCUCGACGGUGAGGGAUGAAAGCUGGGGGAGCAAACCGGAUUAGAUACCCGGGUAGUCCCAGCUGUAAACGAUGCAGACUCGGUGAUGGGCCGGCUUCAUGCCGGCUCAGUGCCGCAGGGAAGCCGUUAAGUCUGCCGCCUGGGGAGUACGGUCGCAAGACUGAAACUUAAAG